RNAcentral lists this unclassified non-coding RNA (363 nucleotides) under Drosophila ananassae. RNAcentral's name for it is "GF23827". The record is from RNAcentral. Lineage: Eukaryota; Metazoa; Arthropoda; Insecta; Diptera; Drosophilidae.
UAGAGUUUUAGAUGGAAUAAGGAGGAACGCCUGUCGGAUUUGAUGGCUUUUGUGCCCCGACAGCACCAGCUCAUCAUUGCUUUUUAGUAUUUAUUAAGACUCUGAUGUGCCAUGAAACAAAUUUCGGAAAAAUAAACAAAUAUUUCUGUGCGUUGGCUGCGUUGACAAAAACAGGAAAUGGGUAUUGAAAAAAACAAAUCAAAAAGCAUCCAACAAGUUCUUCCACAAAGUCAACAACAAUCUCAGGAAUAUGAACUCUCCGGGAUUAAGUAUUCUUCAAAUUUGUGUUGGGAUGACUGAUGCCAAGUGAUACUUUCCAAGUAAAUGGAGCAGGUGAGUAGGUUCUUAGAUCCACGGAAUCAG